GAUGAACGCUGGCGGCGUGCCUAAUACAUGCAAGUCGAGCGAACGGACGAGAAGCUUGCUUCUCUGAUGUUAGCGGCGGACGGGCGAGUAACACGUGGAUAACCUACCUAUAAGACUGGGAUAACUUCGGGAGACCGGAGCUAAUACCGGAUAAUAUUUUGAACCGCAUGGUUCAAAAGUGAAAGACGGUCUUGCUGUCACUUAUAGAUGGAUCCGCGCUGCAUUAGCUAGUUGGUAAGGUAACGGCUUACCAAGGCAACGAUGCAUAGCCGACCUGAGAGGGUGAUCGGCCACACUGGAACUGAGACACGGUCCAGACUCCUACGGGGGGCAGCAGUAGGGAAUCUUCCGCAAUGGGCGAAAGCCUGACGGAGCAACGCCGCGUGAGUGAUGAAGGUCUUCGGAUCGUAAAACUCUGUUAUUAGGGAAGAACAUAUGUGUAAGUAACUGUGCACAUCUUGACGGUACCUAAUCAGAAAGCCACGGCUAACUACGUG
Molecule: ribosomal RNA, 497 nt
Filed under: uncultured bacterium
Lineage: Bacteria
Description: partial 16S ribosomal RNA
Rfam family: Bacterial small subunit ribosomal RNA
Source: RNAcentral